RNAcentral lists this long non-coding RNA (372 nucleotides) under Homo sapiens (human). Its description in RNAcentral is "HSALNT0068013". The record is from RNAcentral. Lineage: Eukaryota; Metazoa; Chordata; Mammalia; Primates; Hominidae.
CGCCAGCUCCCCGAGGCCCCGAAAGCGCCUGGGCGCAGCUGGGGAGAGGCGCCGGUCCUCAUCCAGAGGGACCGCGGCGUGGGCUGAGCGCGCUUAGGGGCGCCGCCGGCACUGACUUGCAGGUGACGGGAACCCAAGUUCAGAACCUUGGGCAAGGGAUGCUCCGGCCCACCAAGUCCUGAACCGUCACGUGCCUGGGGGUUGCAAGGCCAAGCAGCCCUUGCUUGUCGUGGUUGGGGGCAGUGGCCAGGAGAAGGCAACUGUUGAUUGAGUCCAACGGAAGGGGUCGGAGGGGCUGUGUGGAGGGUGGCACUGCACUAGGCCUUGGAAGGUGGGUGUGGAGAGAACAGGCGGAUUUGGAGGCAGUUCCAG